CACAAAUGUAAUUGAAAUCCUAUGUGUCUGCUCAAAUCCCACUGACCCUACCCUAGGAUUAAGAAGUACUGAACUCUGUGAACUAUGAAAGAAAAACCAUUCACAACACCGUGAGAAGCCAAAAGCAACUGAAAAUGUUUCCAAGUGUGCAGAAUCUUCAGCUUCAAGUCAAACACAGAUGGUUCGUUGCUGUUUCUUUAAUGGGAGCUAAUGAAGAGGAA
Long non-coding RNA from Podarcis raffonei (Aeolian wall lizard), 221 nucleotides. RefSeq lists it as uncharacterized. The transcript is spliced from 3 exons. Lineage: Eukaryota; Metazoa; Chordata; Lepidosauria; Squamata; Lacertidae. The record is from RefSeq and is a predicted model, not a curated record.